AGAAGGUAUUGCCACAAGACCUGGGAAAAUUUCCUGCAGUGGACAGGGUUCUUACAACUGGUGAUGAAAAAUCUUUCUUAUAUUCUCACAAUGAUCACUGAUCGAUAAAAAAGCCAGAAGAGAAUAACAAAGCUGAAAGUUAAAUAAUGUAAUGUUUAGACAACUGGUGUGCAGUAUGGAUUCAGACCUCCUUAGAAGAAAGCUUCUAAUGCAAGAUGUUGAGGCAUCAUAUAUCAAGAAAAAAAGUAUUUGGAUGCACUAUCAGCUCUAAUAGAGUAGCUGUACAUUACCUAUGCUCCAAGAACCAGCAAGAAUUUUAAGUUCAACUACAAUUUUGCCUUCACAACACAAAAAAAAUGCUACCUGAACCGGAUUCAUAGCAUCUCACGUAAAGUCAAGGAUAUUCAUAUAUAACAAGCUUUCUUGGAGGGGGCUAGUUUGAUGUUGUCUAAUGUACCUGCUCAAAACAGAGAUUCUGAAACAAGAUAUCAAAUUGUUCACUAAGUUAGCAGAAGCUGGACCUUGUAAAGCAAAAGCACAGUCUCUCAGGGAAAGAGUUUGACUGUUGCAUUUGUAAG
Molecule: long non-coding RNA, 578 nt
Filed under: Cyanistes caeruleus (blue tit)
Lineage: Eukaryota; Metazoa; Chordata; Aves; Passeriformes; Paridae
Description: lncRNA (ENSCCEG00000001060.1)
Source: RNAcentral